AACGGGAUGUACAUGAAACAGGGGAGCUGGGAUUCUUAUGUUUUAAUCUAGAUUUGGUUCUGGAUGACUGUCAUAGAACAGGAAAGAGAUGCGGGGGAUUUGAUGAUGGUGGAGUUCGGGAGGAUGAACUCGAUUCGGUUGGGAACAGGGGAGAUGAUCCAUGGGAUUCGGUUGGUUACGGGAUGAAGGCUGGAACUGGAUGAUUACGAAUGGAUUGCGCGUGAAACAGGGGAGAGUAGCUGGGAACGGAUGCUUGGGCUUUAUCCCGUGGGUGAUGGAAGAUGAGAUUCUCGGACUGGGUGAAUGUCGUGGACAAGGAUGGAGCGCUGGCUUUGUUUGAAGCUGGAAAGCUUGCGGAAUCUAACGGGAUGAGGAUUCUGGGAAGGGAGGAUAAGUUCGGGAAGAUACGGGAAGAUACGGGAAGAGGACGCGGAUGGGAGGAGAUCUAAUCCAUUAGCUACUGUGUUCUGUUUCCGUGAAGUUUGGGAAGAAGAAUCGGAAGCAUGGGAGAUGAAGAUGAAGGAGAUACGUGGGCUGCUGGGAACAGGGGAGUGAUC
This 557-nucleotide long non-coding RNA is filed under the name Phoenix dactylifera (date palm). RNAcentral describes it as "long non-coding RNA (PDAC_LNC011328)". The record is from RNAcentral. Lineage: Eukaryota; Viridiplantae; Streptophyta; Magnoliopsida; Arecales; Arecaceae.